UUUUGGUUUCAAGUUUUUCUC
RNAcentral lists this non-coding RNA (21 nucleotides) under Caenorhabditis elegans. The record is from RNAcentral. Lineage: Eukaryota; Metazoa; Nematoda; Chromadorea; Rhabditida; Rhabditidae.